AUAUGUUACUAUGUUAGGCAAUGCAUUAUAAUCAACACAAAACAAUGUCUCGAUUACCUUAUUUUUAAUCAUAACUGGAAUUUCUUUUAUUUAUCAUAACCAUUUUUUAAUAUAUAAUAAAACAUUCAAUGUCAUACCAACAUGUGAAGUUUGUGGCAAAAAUCUCUGUCAUUUUCAUGCCCCUUGGUUAUUUUAUGACCCUUUAAAGCUCAUAAAUAAAACAAUCAAAGAAACAAUUAAUUUUGCAUGUAUCAUGUUUCAUUGCUCUCCCCCUAUGCCAUCUUUUCUUUGGAAUGCUUUGUUGAAUGUCAGUUUCCUGGCUCUUUUCCUCAAUUCAGUCCCGGAUAUGAUGUGUCUUUUUACAUGUACAGUGGUAAUUCAAGAGGACACUUUAGUUCUAAUAUGAGCUCAUUUUAAGCAUCCACCUUUAAUGUUUUGGUACUUGUACGAAACUCAGGAUUCAAUGGUUCAUGAUUAAAUGUUGGGUUUUUUUUUCUGAUGAGUGCCAUAUUGAUACAUCAUUUUGUUUAUAGGUCUUCAAUUUUCACAUCGAACAUUCCCAUGUCUGCUCCUGUCUCCAUUGCUGUUUAUCAUUCUGAGGAAAGAAAAUGUAAUGAAU
This 619-nucleotide long non-coding RNA is filed under the name Mytilus galloprovincialis (Mediterranean mussel). The record is from RNAcentral. Lineage: Eukaryota; Metazoa; Mollusca; Bivalvia; Mytilida; Mytilidae.